AGCGAACGCUGGCGGCAGGCCUAACACAUGCAAGUCGAACGAACCUUUCGGGGUUAGUGGCGGACUGGUGAGUAACACGUGGGAACGUGCCUUUAGGUUCGGAAUAACUCAGGGAAACUUGUUCUAAUACCGAAUGUGCCCUUCGGGGGAAAGAUUAAUCGCCUUUAGAGCGGCCCGCGUCUGAUUAGCUAGUUGGUUGAGGUAAUGGCUCACCAAGGCGACGAUCAGUAGCUGGUCUGAGAGGAUGAUCAGCCACAUUGGGACUGAGACACGGCCCAAACUCCUACGGGAGGCAGCAGUGGGGAAUCUUGCGCAAUGGGCGAAAGCCUGACGCAGCCAUGCCGCGUGAAUGAUGAAGGUCUUAGGAUUGUAAAAUUCUUUCACCGGGGACGAUAAUGACGGUACCCGGAGAAGAAGCCCCGGCUAACUUCGUG
This 434-nucleotide ribosomal RNA is filed under the name uncultured bacterium. RNAcentral's name for it is "partial 16S ribosomal RNA". It matches the Rfam family "Bacterial small subunit ribosomal RNA", at positions 29 to 507 of the family's 1533-position model. The record is from RNAcentral.